AAACAUAGCCAUACCUGACGAUG
Molecule: small nuclear RNA, 23 nt
Filed under: Arabidopsis thaliana (thale cress)
Lineage: Eukaryota; Viridiplantae; Streptophyta; Magnoliopsida; Brassicales; Brassicaceae
Description: snRNA_14913
Source: RNAcentral